Molecule: transfer RNA, 67 nt
Filed under: Leucocephalophus adersi (Aders's duiker)
Lineage: Eukaryota; Metazoa; Chordata; Mammalia; Artiodactyla; Bovidae
Description: Cephalophus adersi (Aders's duiker) tRNA-Trp
Source: RNAcentral
AGGAAUUUAGGUUAAGCAGACCAAGAGCCUUCAAAGCCCUAAGUAAGUAUGAUUUACUUAAUUCCUG